UUGUUUCUUUUGGGCAAUUCAUUUGUGUAAACCUAAUUGUCAUCAAAGUUCAAGUCAUUGCAUUUCGGGCAGGCAGUUUCUCAAACAAUAACCAAAGGGAGAGGCUAAUUAUUUGCUUAAAUCAAUUACAACAUGUAAAAAUAUUUGUGCUAUGAUCAAAUACAGUGUAGAGCUACUAACUUUCCCUUACAUAGAUCCACAUCGUGACUAAUAUUGAGAACAACGGGGGGGAAGGUCGGGGGAGGAGUCGCGCAGGAGGAGAGAGAGAGAGAGAGGAGAGGAGAGUGUUGUGCGGAAGCGUCAACCAACUGCGAGUGAAAAAUAAAUAACAACAGGCAGGAGAAAAAUUGAACAAAAUAAUCAACAAUAACAACACCAAGAUUUAUACUGGUUCGGCAAUUGCCUACAUCCAGUUUGGAGACGAUGGAGUAUUCCACUAUAAUCAAUGGAGAUAUACAAUAGUGUUUACCACUCCAUUUCCCAAAGACCCAAAUACACCCAACCUCACACACUCACAAAGGAAGAGAAAACAAUGAUACAAAGCAAAGAACAACUAGAGAGAAUUUGUUUCACUCUUUGGCAAAAUGCCUUUCUUGCUAUUUUUCUCUUCUACUCAACUCUUGGUUGGAU
This 630-nucleotide long non-coding RNA is filed under the name Prunus dulcis (almond). RNAcentral's name for it is "sRNA ncRNA". Lineage: Eukaryota; Viridiplantae; Streptophyta; Magnoliopsida; Rosales; Rosaceae. The record is from RNAcentral.